CAGAACCUAAAUCGUAGUCCACGUUGGUCCAAGUCACAAGGGCUUCUCAGAGACCCAGAGGAGCUGAAACAGAGCGGCUGGCAGUCAUCACGGACACAGAGGGAAGUACGUAACUCCCGACGAUGGCAUCAAUUCCUUAUUUGAAAAAGAAAAGUGUCCCCGUCAAUGGAAUAUGAAGAGGAUGGAAGGAAUGACAUGGGCUGCUAUCAGUCAGGAGAAAGCGUUGUGCUUGGAACCGAGAGAAAUAUGUGUGAGUGGUCAAGGUGCCUAAGGAAUGGGACUGACAUGGGCCGUCAGGGAUGCUUGAAGGAUUAAUACUUUAGACCCAGCCUUUCAUGUCUUGGCUAUUGCAAUGGUCUCCUAACUAAUCAGCAAGCCGGUCUUCAACUUUGACCAAAUCAAGUUGCCCAUACCUAAAACCACCAGAAAGCCAGUCUGGAGUGGAAGAGACAGAAGCGAAGCUGCAGAGAGGAGCGAGGAGAGAUGGAGAGAGCAUCCUGUUGGCACUUGAGCCCUGUGUUCGACAUGUUUCUUAGGCCGUCAAAGGGCGGGUUCUACGGAAUCAGACCCUGAGACCGAGUCUCGGGUGCAGGAUAUUUAUUAGGGAGCAACACUCAUGGGAAGAAGGAGAGGAAGCAGUGUGGCGCAGAGAGGGAAACUGAACUACAACGCAGGUCUAACAAAGCCUUGGUCGACCACUCAGCGAACUUGUUGGUAUUGUCCUGCAUGGGCCACGAUGGCCUGGCCUUUAUAGUCCCCGUGACCAGUGACUGGGUCUGAGCUGCCCAGGGAAGAGCAUGUUCCUGGGUGAGGCAACUCUGUUGCUGAGGCAGACCCUGAAGUCACAGACGGUUGCAGGCUGUCUACUAAACACCCACCCACAUCUGGGGCAACACAUCCUUCUUUGAAAGGGGUCUGGGCAGCACAUCUCAGGUCCACCACGGAGGCCUGCCUUCGCCUGCCUUCCCUGUGAGUAAUGGUCAACGCUGUCUUUUAAUUAUGUGAGACACUCCAAAAUGCUUUCAAUACAUUUCCAUUUCGCCAAAUCAAGGUCAAGUUAGAUUUCUAUCACUUGCCACCAAGAAAGUCCUGACUAAUAUCCUCCAGCCAGAUGGCUCCCCAGAACACCCUCUCUACUCCUUCGGCUGAGAAGUGCCUGUGCUUUUUCUCCUCUACCCACCCAGUGAUGCAACAGGUAUUUCCCAAGCACCCACUGUGUGCCAGGCAGGACUCGAACUCCUCCUCUCCCAAAGCUCCAGCCUCGCCCCGCGGCCUUCCAUGGCCUCUCCGACCCUCGGCCCUCAGCACGUGCGCCCUCCUUUGAACGCCAAUAGCUCUUGUCAUCUCUGCUGUUCACUCAGCGCUGCUUUGCCUCUCUCUGGACCACUGGCCUCCAGGAGAAAUGUUCUGGUGGCACUGUUCUAGGAAAUAAGGGGCCCCAAGGAGGAAUGGGACUAGAAAAUUCCCGUGGGCUUGUCCCAUCCUCAGAGGGUGUUCCUUAAAUUUCGGUGCUCUUUCUAGGAGAUUCUUGGAGAAAUUUCUUCCCUAUCUCAUUAUCGAUAGCACAAGUGCUUCUGGAUAGCUGCCUGUUUUUUCUCUCACCGCCCUGUGAACUGUAUAACUGGCUACGUUCUCUUUUCACAUCGCUUGCUAGGGAGCUCAAGCCGAAUUUGUGACACUCUCUUAGCAAGCAUGUAACAUUCUAUGUCCAUGUCACUGACCACAGCCUCCAGGUAAUUGAGGCUGAGGACAUAUUUUAUUUGUUUAGUUGAGAUUUCUUAAAAAUAUAACCUGAAUGUCUUCAGGCUGGGCACGCAGCCUCUUGGUUGCCACAAACACACCCACCCCCUGUUGUAAAUACAACUUGUCACUUCACAUGUGUGCUACCUGCUGGCCCCCUGAAAGCGUUUGAUUUUAGAAUUCUUCACCUGUGAUGUGCAUUUUAAAAAAAUUUUAAUAGUAUGUUUUAUUUAACCCCCACAUCAAAAAUAUUAUCAAAAUAUUAUGUUUUAAAAAGUAUUAAUGAGUUUUUUUAUACUAAGCAUUUGGAGUCCAAUGUGUCUUUCUUUUCCUGUGGCAAAAUACACGUGACAUAAAUUUCCCAUUUUAGCCAUGUUUAAGCGCACAGUUCAGUGGCUUUAAGUGCAUUCACAUUGCUGCGCAGCCAUCACCAUCAUCCGUCUCCAGAACUUUUUCCAUCUUGCCAGACUGAAACUCUGUUCCCAUUUAAUAACUCCCAUUUCCCCCUGUCCCCACCAUUCUGCUUUCUGUCCUUAUGAGUCUGACUACUCUAGGGACCUGGUAUAAGUGGAAUCACACAGUCUUUGUCCUUUUGUGUCUGCCUCAUUCCACUCAGCAUGAUGUCUUCAAGGUCCAUCCACGUUGUAGCAUGUGUCAGGAUUUCCUUCCUUUUUAAGGCCGAAUAAUAUUCCAUUGUAGGUGUAUGCCACAUUUUGUUUAUUCAUUCAUCUAUGGUCUGCCUUUUUGUAUUAGCCUCAUUGCAUGUUGUUGCACUUGCUCUUUCUAAAUAAACUGCCUUUAAUCCUUUUAUGAGCAGCGCGCAGCAUAAAUAAAUACAUCCACAUGUUCCUCCUCAACAAGACCAUAAGCUCCUUAAAGACAGUGCUCAGCACAAGUUGGGCACAAAGCAGAUGUUCGACACGUGUGUUCUGGGCACAGGUCACACUGGCAUCUAACCCGGGUGAGGGGGCUGCGCAGGGUAGGCAGGGGAGCGCCUGCACCCUGGCCGAGGGGUGGGGGUGGCGUGCGGGGCACAAAGCCAGGGCAGCCUUGGCCAUCUUGUCUGCGUGUCGCUGGUUCCUGCAUCCACUCUGCGUCCUCCAGUAGCGUUUCUUGCGGGUCUUAGAGACGGCGCUGUCAACAUGUGUUACCUUAGAAACAGUGACGGGGCGCCUGGGGGCGCAGGGGCUGAGGAGCUGCUCUGCGUCCUCCCCCGUUCCUGGGCAGCCUCCCUGCCGCGCUGGGUGGGACGCCCGGUGGGCUCAGGGGACACUCAAGUGCGAGGCUGCUCCAGGGCUCAGACGCUUCCCCAGAUCCAAAUCCACGGAGAAAUGCUCUUAACUUUUAAAAAUAGAGAUACAAUCCAGGAAUCUAGGGGAAGCCUUUAAGCACCAGCCUAAAAGAGAAGCUUUGCGAAGAAGCUGCAGAGAGCCGGGUUGUCGCAGGGGGCCGGGCUACGGGGCCGGGGCUUCUCUGCAGCCUUCUAAAGGGUGCUGAAGGCGCCCCCGGCGGGCGCCUGGGGAGGGCCCCGCGCCGUCACUCUCCCGAAGGCUGCUUGAGAAGGUUGCCUGGGCGUCACUGCAGCAGGUUCCCUUAGAAUCGGGGGACGGGGAGGGGGGCGUCGGAGGCAUCCCGACCAACUAGAGGCAGCCGGGGGACCCUGUCCGGCCGUCGCGGACACGCAGACGUGGAGCCUGGGGGCCCACGGGGGAUCGGGGGCUCAGCACUGGUCUAACACUGCCCACCCCGGCCCAGCUCGCUCUGGGCUUAGACAGGCUUGUGGUUAUGAGGAUCUUUAUUUUUUUGAGACCGAACAUCAUUCUCUGUAAUUAUCACCUUUGGUUCGCGGUCUGCUUUAGCGUACGUGUGUCUAAUCCUAAAUGCACACACUCAGCUGGCCCUCCCUGGGCCAGGAAGUAGCCUGGAGGGCCCUGAGACCGGCCUGGGUGACCAUGACACGGAGGGGGUCUGCUGCUCGAGGAGGCGAGUGUGGGGAGGCACGGGGCAGGUGGAGCGUGGAGGACGGCUGCAGCUUUGGGGGGCGCGGGCAGCCUGCCGGCUGGGGAGGGCCUGCAAUGAUGCUGAAGGCAGGCCAAGAGCCGUCCAGGGGGCCAUCCUUGGUUCUCCCAGGGGCCCUGGUGACUGGACCAGAGUCCGCUGAGCUCUGGGCUGGGAGGCAGGAAACCUUACUCUGGUCCCAGUCUAUCUUUACCAGUUGUGUUAUCUUGGGAUGACUGUUUAAGCUCUUCCUACCUCAGUUUCCUCAUCUGUAAAAUUGGAUUAAGAAUGCUUAGCCUUUCCAUUUCCUAGGAUUGUGUUAAGGAUCAGAUGAAUUCUAGUGAGGAUAGGGGCUUUGAAGCUAGGACAUUGGGUCACAACUUUCUCUGCUUAUAUUUCUUUCUCGCCUUUACUUUCUCACCUUCAGUUUUCUUUGCAUUAUGUAAGAGCUUAUUUACAACCUUUUGUAUAAUGUUAAAUUGUUUGUACAUUUUAAGGUACCUCAUAUUCUUUUUGAAAUAUGGUGUGGAAUAAAUAUAAACAUACACAAAAU
This is a long non-coding RNA of Equus asinus (donkey), 4291 nucleotides long. Lineage: Eukaryota; Metazoa; Chordata; Mammalia; Perissodactyla; Equidae. The record is from Ensembl.